GGGGCCGCAAUGCCAUUAUACUUGGUUACAAAACGUUGACAACACCGGAUCAAAAAUGUUUUGGGAUCUACUCGGUGGAAUUUUUGAGUUUAUUUUCGGGCUCUUGUUUCCUAGUUCCGGUAGUGGGGACGAACCAGACUCCGAGGAGGUGGAAACCACUUGAUGGCCUACAUGGGCUAACAUAUUAUUUUUUCAAUUUUAAGAUUUCCAUGUUUUUGCUUUAUUACAUCUACGUAAAAUUUGUAUAUUAAACAAGAAUUGCUUCAACAGCUA
Molecule: long non-coding RNA, 273 nt
Organism: Drosophila santomea
Lineage: Eukaryota; Metazoa; Arthropoda; Insecta; Diptera; Drosophilidae
Exons: 2
Source: RefSeq, a predicted model, not a curated record